This 654-nucleotide ribosomal RNA is filed under the name Mycobacterium tuberculosis variant caprae. RNAcentral's name for it is "bacterial SSU rRNA". It matches the Rfam family "Bacterial small subunit ribosomal RNA", at positions 55 to 710 of the family's 1533-position model. The record is from RNAcentral. Lineage: Bacteria; Bacillati; Actinomycetota; Actinomycetes; Mycobacteriales; Mycobacteriaceae.
AUGCAAGUCGAACGGAAAGGUCUCUUCGGAGAUACUCGAGUGGCGAACGGGUGAGUAACACGUGGGUGAUCUGCCCUGCACUUCGGGAUAAGCCUGGGAAACUGGGUCUAAUACCGGAUAGGACCACGGGAUGCAUGUCUUGUGGUGGAAAGCGCUUUAGCGGUGUGGGAUGAGCCCGCGGCCUAUCAGCUUGUUGGUGGGGUGACGGCCUACCAAGGCGACGACGGGUAGCCGGCCUGAGAGGGUGUCCGGCCACACUGGGACUGAGAUACGGCCCAGACUCCUACGGGAGGCAGCAGUGGGGAAUAUUGCACAAUGGGCGCAAGCCUGAUGCAGCGACGCCGCGUGGGGGAUGACGGCCUUCGGGUUGUAAACCUCUUUCACCAUCGACGAAGGUCCGGGUUCUCUCGGAUUGACGGUAGGUGGAGAAGAAGCACCGGCCAACUACGUGCCAGCAGCCGCGGUAAUACGUAGGGUGCGAGCGUUGUCCGGAAUUACUGGGCGUAAAGAGCUCGUAGGUGGUUUGUCGCGUUGUUCGUGAAAUCUCACGGCUUAACUGUGAGCGUGCGGGCGAUACGGGCAGACUAGAGUACUGCAGGGGAGACUGGAAUUCCUGGUGUAGCGGUGGAAUGCGCAGAUAUCAGGAGGAACACC